This 253-nucleotide ribosomal RNA is filed under the name uncultured bacterium. RNAcentral describes it as "partial 16S ribosomal RNA". It matches the Rfam family "Bacterial small subunit ribosomal RNA", at positions 524 to 776 of the family's 1533-position model. The record is from RNAcentral.
UAUGAAGGGGGCUAGCGUUGCUCGGAAUUACUGGGCGUAAAGCGCACGUAGGCGGCUUUCUAAGUCGGGGGUGAAAUCCUGGAGCUCAACUCCAGAACUGCCUUCGAUACUGGAGAGCUCGAGUUCGGGAGAGGUGAGUGGAACUGCGAGUGUAGAGGUGAAAUUCGUAGAUAUUCGCAAGAACACCAGUGGCGAAGGCGGCUCACUGGCCCGAUACUGACGCUGAGGCACGAAAGCGUGGGGAGCAAACAGG